Molecule: long non-coding RNA, 547 nt
Filed under: Canis lupus familiaris (dog)
Lineage: Eukaryota; Metazoa; Chordata; Mammalia; Carnivora; Canidae
Description: lncRNA (ENSCAFG00845004150.1)
Source: RNAcentral
CUGGAGACUUCAACCUGUGCCCUUUGGCCUAAACCUUCAGGGUCCUAACCUGUCCAAUCUCUCUCUCCUUCCUCAGGAAUCACUUCAAUUCCCUGACUACUUGGUUGGCUUUCUUUGAGAUUCCUUCCAGAUAUCUGGCCUUUUCACCCUGGAGUUCCUGCAUCCAGAGUGGCUCUUCUGUAAAGACGGCAGUAGUUCAGAUCCUUUGGAGUCCCAGCCAUCUUAGAGCUCAAGAUAAGUUUGUGAGCAUUGCGAAGCAAAAGAAAAAAAAGAAAGAGAUUCACCAUCUAGCCAGCUGCGUAAAGAAGAAAUCCAUUCCCACCUGUCUGCAUUUGAUUGAACCUCCAUGAACCGCCAAUGCCACGCACCCUGGAGGAACCAGAUUAAAGACCUACAGGAGACAUCAUAUAGAUCUUCUUAGACAGGUGCUUUUCACACCUCUGCAGUUUAUCUAAGGCUCACUUCACAAAGACUUGGAGGGAGCCCUGCCCUUCCUGAAGCACAUGAAGUAAAAUAAACCCAGAGCUAAAGGUAAGAUGCUCAAGAC